Molecule: ribosomal RNA, 406 nt
Filed under: uncultured bacterium
Lineage: Bacteria
Description: bacterial SSU rRNA
Rfam family: Bacterial small subunit ribosomal RNA
Source: RNAcentral
AAUUAACGCUGGCAGAGUGCAUAACACAUGCAAGUCGAGCGGAUUCAUCUGAGAUUACAUCAAGGGUGAAUUAGCGGCAGACGAGUGAGUAACACGUGGACAAUCUGCCCCUCAAUGGUGAAUAACCAGCCGAAAGGUUGGCUAAUGCGCCGUACUUUCCUCUGAAGGCAUCUUCGGAGGAAGAAAGACCCGCAAGGGUUCGUUGAAGGAGGAGCCGCGGCCCAUCAGCUAGUUGGCGGUGUAAUAGACCACCAAGGCUACGACGGGUACCCGGCCUGAAAGGGCGGACGGGCACGAUGGCACUGAGACACGGGCCAUACUCCUACGGGAGGCAGCAGUGGGAAUUUUGGACAAUGGGCGAAAGCCUGAUCCAGCAACUCUGCGUGGAGGGACGAAGGUCUUCGGA